Cordylochernes scorpioides is the source of this 79-nucleotide non-coding RNA. The record is from the annotation of a GenBank genome assembly. Lineage: Eukaryota; Metazoa; Arthropoda; Arachnida; Pseudoscorpiones; Chernetidae.
UGUCCAGGAAUGGAAAUCGAACCCACAAUGUUCCGCUUACCAGGCAGAUGCCAUGUCCACUAGGCACCCAUUCCAGGAC